Molecule: non-coding RNA, 136 nt
Organism: Triticum aestivum (bread wheat)
Lineage: Eukaryota; Viridiplantae; Streptophyta; Magnoliopsida; Poales; Poaceae
Source: Rfam
AUGAUAUCUCCAUCCAUCCCAAAAUUCUUGUCUUAAAUUUGUCUAGAUACGGAUGUAUCUAAUACUGAAAUGUGACUUGAUACAUCAGUAUUUAGAAAAAUCUAAGACAAGAAUUUUGGGACGGAGGGUGUAUUUU